RNAcentral lists this ribosomal RNA (365 nucleotides) under uncultured eukaryote. RNAcentral's name for it is "partial 18S ribosomal RNA". It matches the Rfam family "Eukaryotic small subunit ribosomal RNA", at positions 592 to 975 of the family's 1831-position model. The record is from RNAcentral.
CAAUAGCGUAUAUUAACGUUGUUGCAGUUAAAAAGCUCGUAGUUGGAUUUCUGGAGGGAGCGUCGACCCGUAUUUACGAGUGCGUGACGUCUCUGUCCAUCCUUGCGGGAAGGCACGGCAUUGAUUUGUUGUGUCGGAUCGCAUCAUUUACUGUGAAAAAAUUAGAGUGUUCAAAGCAGGCUUUCGCUUGAAUACAUUAGCAUGGAAUAAUGAGAUAGGACUUUGGUGCUAUUUUGUUGGUUGAGCCUAAAGUAAUGAUUAAUAGGGAUAGUUGGGGGCACCUGUAUUGCGUUGUCAGAGGUGAAAUUCUUGGAUUUACGCAAGACAAACAGCUGCGAAAGCGUCCGCCAAGGAUGUUUNCAUUA